This 1715-nucleotide ribosomal RNA is filed under the name Brassica rapa (field mustard). Its description in RNAcentral is "SSU rRNA". The stretch from base 387 to 1715 matches the Rfam family "Eukaryotic small subunit ribosomal RNA". Lineage: Eukaryota; Viridiplantae; Streptophyta; Magnoliopsida; Brassicales; Brassicaceae. The record is from RNAcentral.
GGGAUGUGUUGCGUGUGGCGCCAUCCUUUGAGUGUUUUGUUUUGUAGUGUUCGAGUCUAAGAUUGAGUCUAGAUCGAGUCUUAGUUUUGUAGUUAAGUCUCGGUGGGGAGACAUGGGUGUAGAGUAGUUGCAUUGCUUUCAUGUUUAAGUUUUUGCAUUGCAUUCAUGUUUAAAUUAUCGCAUUGCAUAUUUAAUUUAUGUUGUUGUUAUUGCAUUGCUUUGUUGUGUUGCUCUUGUUGUUUGAGCAUGGGCUGAAGGGGGUAGUUGUUGUUUUGUUUUGGGAACUCACUGAGUAAUUUCGAUUACUCAUUCCCUCUUCUACUAUGCAGGUAACCUUAGGGGAUUGGGCGUUUGCGGGGUGCCGAGGACGAGGCCAGGCGUAGAUUUCCGUUGUUGUUUGCAAGGCGCAAGAUGUUGAUGUUUUUACUCGUUUUGUUUUUCAUGGGUACCCGUUGACUCGUUUGUUUUUAUUUUCUGCUGCGUUUAUCUUUAAGAACUUUAGUCGAGUUCCCGACUUUGUAAAAUAAAUAAAAUUAUGUUUGUUUUAAUAAAAUCCCCGUAGAACGCUGAUAUUUGAGUUUAGUCCGAACUUAACACAACUCUUGACCGAGGAACGGGUUGGCAAGCCUUAGGCCGAGGUUGAGAGGGACGGUACAGUGGUCGGACUGGUCGAGACUUUGAAUUUGUUUUGAAGUCUUAACUGGUACGACUGCGGUACUAUCAACCCUUGUAACGCUUCCGGGACGUUCCCCGUUGGUCCGGCCUAGGACGGUCCGGGGGUGUUACAGUCGGGGGCAUUCGUAUUUCAUAGUCAGAGGUGAAAUUCUUGGAUUUAUGAAAGAUGAACAACUGUGAAAGCAUUUGCAAGGAUGUUUUCAUUAAUCAAGAACGAAAGUUGGGGACUCGACCACGAUCAGAUACCGUCCUAGUCUCAACCAUAAACGAUGCCGACCAGGGAUCAGCGGAUGUUGCUUUUAGGACUCCGCUGGCACCUUAUGAGAAAUCAAAGUUUUUGGGUUCCGGGGGGAGUAUGGUCGCAAGGCUGAAACUUAAAGGAAUUGACGGAAUGGCACCACCAGGAGUGGAGCCUGCGGCUUAAUUUGACUCAACACGGGGAAACUUACCAGGUCCAGACAUAGUAAGGAUUGACAGACUGAGAGCUCUUUCUUGAUUCUAUGGGUGGUGGUGCAUGGCCGUUCUUAGUUGGUGGAGCGAUUUGUCUGGUUAAUUCCGUUAACGAACGAGACUUCAGCCUGCUAACUAGCUAUGUGGAGGCAUCCCUUCACGGCCGGCUUCUUAGAGGGACUAUGGCCGUUUAGGCCAAGGAAGUUUGAGGCAAUAACAGGUCUGUGAUGCUCUUAGAUGUUCUGGGCGCGACGCUGCUACACUGAUAUAUUCAACGAGUUCACACCUUGGCCGACAGGCCGGGUAAUCUUUGAAAUUUCAUCGUGAUGGGGAUAGAUCAUUGCAAUUGUUGGUCUUCAACGAGGAAUUCCUAGUAAGCGCGAGUCAUCAGCUUCGCGUUGACUACGCCCCCUGCCCUUUGUACACACCCCGCCCGUCGCUCCUACCGAUUGAAUGAUCCGGUGAAGUGUUCGGAUCGCGGCGGCGUGGGGGUUCGCCGUCUCUUCGACGUCGCGAGAAGUCCACUAAACCUUAUCAUUUAGAGGAAGGAGAAGUCGUAACAAGGUUUCCGUCCGGUGAACCUGCGGAAG